Molecule: long non-coding RNA, 1054 nt
Filed under: Dromaius novaehollandiae (emu)
Lineage: Eukaryota; Metazoa; Chordata; Aves; Casuariiformes; Dromaiidae
Description: lncRNA (ENSDNVG00000010759.1)
Source: RNAcentral
GGAGAAGUUUCUUUGGUGAAAAAAAUGUAUGAGGCUCCUCCGUAGCUGCCUACAUGGUCCCGCUGUGCUGAGUGACUAGGGCCGCCGUGCAGGGUGGAGGAGAGACUCUUGUGGCCCUCUCCACAAAGGUGUGCGGGGCGCUGGGCUCAGCACCACAGCGGUUCCUCCGGUUCCUCAGACGGAAGUAAGUUGCCUCAAGUCUCUUCACCAGAGAGAGCUUGGCACUGCGAAGAAUGAGCACAGAGCGUGAUGAAGAAUUGCUUUAUUCCAAGAGGCAGAGCUUGCUGGCUUGCAUGCCUUGAGGAGGAAGGGAAGGAUAGCCAUGGAGGACUCUGAGGAUUUGGACCACAUGGUGGAACAAGACAGAUCUCUGCAUCAGUGGCUCUCCCAUGCAGUUGCACAUAUCUGCAUUCCCAGCACUGUCAAACAUGGUACUUCGGGCGUGCUCCUUCACCCUUGGAGAUACUGCCUGACAGCAUGGGGUCCGUCUCGGUGUGUCUUAGUUGAAAAGAAGAGGCAGUAUUUGGCAUCUUGUGAAGUGCCUCUGAUAGGAGGAGAAGUGGAUGACAUUCAGGUAUUUCUCUUCAGUCCUGUUAUUCCUGCUUUGUUUUACUGAGAUGAAGUCCUGUGUUUCUAAAUACGGUAAGGGCAAAUCUCAGCAGGCCUUCUGCUUUCUCACAGUCCUAAGCCUGCGUUUCUCAUUGACUCUCUGCUCAGCAACUUCCCUUGCUUGGUUUUCUCUUCUAACCGAUCCACACACACGCGCACUAUGUCACGCAGCCAGCUCUCUCGCUUAGCCCUCAGCAGUCAGUCCUAGGACGGUGGCUUUCACUGAGUUUUUAGCUAUCACCUGAUUUCAUUAAAUUUAGGUCUUGGAAGUGAGUUGUUUUUGAGGGGAUGCAAUUUUCAGAGCACUUUAUUGAAAAGCUAGGUAAAGCACCUCUCAAAAUGAUUAUUCAAACGUGGCAUACGUUUUUCCUGUGAAUUCUCAGUAGACAUCUUUGCGGUGGAUUUCCAAAAUAAAUUAGACUUUGCAUAGUGCUUUUUCUGUAUU